RNAcentral lists this ribosomal RNA (1532 nucleotides) under Salmonella enterica subsp. enterica. RNAcentral's name for it is "bacterial SSU rRNA". It matches the Rfam family "Bacterial small subunit ribosomal RNA". The record is from RNAcentral. Lineage: Bacteria; Pseudomonadati; Pseudomonadota; Gammaproteobacteria; Enterobacterales; Enterobacteriaceae.
AGAGUUUGAUCAUGGCUCAGAUUGAACGCUGGCGGCAGGCCUAACACAUGCAAGUCGAACGGUAACAGGAAGCAGCUUGCUGCUUCGCUGACGAGUGGCGGACGGGUGAGUAAUGUCUGGGAAACUGCCUGAUGGAGGGGGAUAACUACUGGAAACGGUGGCUAAUACCGCAUAACGUCGCAAGACCAAAGAGGGGGACCUUCGGGCCUCUUGCCAUCAGAUGUGCCCAGAUGGGAUUAGCUGGUUGGUGAGGUAACGGCUCACCAAGGCGACGAUCCCUAGCUGGUCUGAGAGGAUGACCAGCCACACUGGAACUGAGACACGGUCCAGACUCCUACGGGAGGCAGCAGUGGGGAAUAUUGCACAAUGGGCGCAAGCCUGAUGCAGCCAUGCCGCGUGUAUGAAGAAGGCCUUCGGGUUGUAAAGUACUUUCAGCGGGGAGGAAGGUGUUGUGGUUAAUAACCACAGCAAUUGACGUUACCCGCAGAAGAAGCACCGGCUAACUCCGUGCCAGCAGCCGCGGUAAUACGGAGGGGUGCAAGCGUUAAUCGGAAUUACUGGGCGUAAAGCGCACGCAGGCGGUCUGUCAAGUCGGAUGUGAAAUCCCCGGGCUCAACCUGGGAACUGCAUUCGAAACUGGCAGGCUUGAGUCUUGUAGAGGGGGGUAGAAUUCCAGGUGUAGCGGUGAAAUGCGUAGAGAUCUGGAGGAAUACCGGUGGCGAAGGCGGCCCCCUGGACAAAGACUGACGCUCAGGUGCGAAAGCGUGGGGAGCAAACAGGAUUAGAUACCCUGGUAGUCCACGCCGUAAACGAUGUCUACUUGGAGGUUGUGCCCUUGAGGCGUGGCUUCCGGAGCUAACGCGUUAAGUAGACCGCCUGGGGAGUACGGCCGCAAGGUUAAAACUCAAAUGAAUUGACGGGGGCCCGCACAAGCGGUGGAGCAUGUGGUUUAAUUCGAUGCAACGCGAAGAACCUUACCUGGUCUUGACAUCCACGGAAGUUUUCAGAGAUGAGAAUGUGCCUUCGGGAACCGUGAGACAGGUGCUGCAUGGCUGUCGUCAGCUCGUGUUGUGAAAUGUUGGGUUAAGUCCCGCAACGAGCGCAACCCUUAUCCUUUGUUGCCAGCGGUCCCGGCCGGGAACUCAAAGGAGACUGCCAGUGAUAAACUGGAGGAAGGUGGGGAUGACGUCAAGUCAUCAUGGCCCUUACGACCAGGGCUACACACGUGCUACAAUGGCGCAUACAAAGAGAAGCGAUCUCGCGAGAGCAAGCGGACCUCAUAAAGUGCGUCGUAGUCCGGAUUGGAGUCUGCAACUCGACUCCAUGAAGUCGGAAUCGCUAGUAAUCGUGGAUCAGAAUGCCACGGUGAAUACGUUCCCGGGCCUUGUACACACCGCCCGUCACACCAUGGGAGUGGGUUGCAAAAGAAGUAGGUAGCUUAACCUUCGGGAGGGCGCUUACCACUUUGUGAUUCAUGACUGGGGUGAAGUCGUAACAAGGUAACCGUAGGGGAACCUGCGGUUGGAUCACCU